AGUGAACGCUGGCGGUAGGCCUAACACAUGCAAGUCGAACGGCAGCACAGGAGAGCUUGCUCUCUGGGUGGCGAGUGGCGGACGGGUGAGGAAUACAUCGGAAUCUACUUUUUCGUGGGGGAUAACGUAGGGAAACUUACGCUAAUACCGCAUACGACCUACGGGUGAAAGCAGGGGACCUUCGGGCCUUGCGCGAUUGAAUGAGCCGAUGUCGGAUGAGCUAGUUGGCGGGGUAAAGGCCCACCAAGGCGACGAUCCGUAGCUGGUCUGAGAGGAUGAUCAGCCACACUGGAACUGAGACACGGUCCAGACUCCUACGGGAGGCAGAAGUGGGGAAUAUUGGACAAUGGGCGCAAGCCUGAUCCAGCCAUACCGCGUGGGUGAAGAAGGCCUUCGGGUUGUAAAGCCCUUUUGUUGGGAAAGAAAUCCAGCUGGCUAAUACCCGGUUGGGAUGACGGUACCCAAAGAAUAAGCACCGGCUAACUUCGUGCCAGCAGCCGCCGCAG
This 506-nucleotide ribosomal RNA is filed under the name uncultured bacterium. Its description in RNAcentral is "partial 16S ribosomal RNA". It matches the Rfam family "Bacterial small subunit ribosomal RNA", at positions 29 to 523 of the family's 1533-position model. The record is from RNAcentral.